CCCAAGUUAUAUAUCACGAAGAAAGGGAUGAAGAAGGCUCUGGGAAAGAAGAGAACGAAUGCCAGGAAGAAGGUGGUCGAUGCCGGAGACCAUGGGCAUGUCUGAGGGAUGAAAAGCUGCAGAUUAACUUCGGACUGUCAGAGGAAUGUCAUGGGAUAUCAGUCUGUUGCGUACCGGAAGCUAAGAACGAAUGUGAAGAGGAAGGAGGACAGUGCAAGAGAGCAAAGACUUGUAUCAGGGACACCCGAGGCAAGAUUGAUAUUGAGCUUUCGCAGGAAUGCCCAGGAAGAUCGGUGUGCUGCGUCAAGAAG
Molecule: long non-coding RNA, 311 nt
Organism: Lineus longissimus
Lineage: Eukaryota; Metazoa; Nemertea; Pilidiophora; Heteronemertea; Lineidae
Exons: 4
Source: RefSeq, a predicted model, not a curated record